RNAcentral lists this ribosomal RNA (491 nucleotides) under uncultured bacterium. RNAcentral describes it as "partial 16S ribosomal RNA". It matches the Rfam family "Bacterial small subunit ribosomal RNA", at positions 29 to 507 of the family's 1533-position model. The record is from RNAcentral.
GUGAACGCUGGCGGUAGGCCUAACACAUGCAAGUCGCACGGCAGCACAGUAAGAGCUUGCUCUUACGGGUGGCGAGUGGCGGACGGGUGAGGAAUACAUCGGAAUCUACUUUUUCGUGGGGGAUAACGUAGGGAAACUUACGCUAAUACCGCAUACGACCUACGGGUGAAAGCAGGGGAUCUUCGGACCUUGCGCGAUUGAAUGAGCCGAUGUCGGAUUAGCUAGUUGGCGGGGUAAAGGCCCACCAAGGCGACGAUCCGUAGCUGGUCUGAGAGGAUGAUCAGCCACACUGGAACUGAGACACGGUCCAGACUCCUACGGGAGGCAGCAGUGGGGAAUAUUGGACAAUGGGCGCAAGCCUGAUCCAGCCAUACCGCGUGGGUGAAGAGGGCCUUCGGGUUGUAAAGCCCUUUUGUUGGGAAAGAAAAGCAGCAGGUUAAUACCCCGCUGUUCUGACGGUACCCAAAGAAUAAGCACCGGCUAACUUCGUG